GGGGAAAGAGCUAAGCAGAGGUGCAAAGUGCAGCCUUCGUCUCAUCCCACAGGGAGCUCAGGAGGGGGAAUUGCACUGAAGAUUUGUCCCAUCGUGAAGCAAGAGCACUGGAACUUACACUCCACCAUCAGAGGCCCAGAGAUGGGGAGGGAGUUGGACAAGAUCACACAGAGCACUGAGAGCUGGUUAAGGGCCCUGUCACAGGAGAACAAAGAAGGAAGGCAGAGGAGAUCAUGCUCCGCCCAGCAGGGAAUCUCCAUUUUUUUCAGCCUCAUACCUUGGAAAGUACAAAGGAGUGAGAGCUGGGACUACCAGCCAGAGGGUUCAUGGAGGUAGUGGGAGGGGAAGAUGGGUUCUGCAUGGAGCCACUCCAGGGACUUUUCUUCUGUCUCACAGCCUGACAAUCACCUCUAGCUGUUCUCAGUCCCGUUCUCAUCGAUGACCUCGUCUCCUGUUUUUGUACAAUAUCUAGGUGACCUUCUCUUCUUUCCAUCUUCAAACGCUUGAUCAUUGAUGCUCCCUUUUCUCUUCUCUCUCCUCCUGGGAAAAGAGAAGGACCAAUAUCCCCCUUUCCCUUCCUCCUGUGCUGUCCCAACCCCUCUGAGACCUGGCUCUAGCAGUAAGUCCCUCUCUCUUCUGCAGCACCAGCCUCUGCCCAUCCCUGCCCUCUGCACACAAAGCUCUCACAUUGUCUGCACUUUAAGAAAUUUUGUGGCAAACCCUGGCAAAUCCUGCCACUUGUUUCCACUCUUCUCAAAUGGCUUUGAGGUCAUCAUUGACCUAUCCCAUUUGACCCUGUCCUGUAUCUGAUGUUGUACCCUUUCUCCUUGAUCCCACUCUGGCAACUCUCCCACUCCCCUUUCUUGGAUCAACUGUCUUGCUCCUCAGUCUUGAUCAAUGCCUCCUUCUCUCUCUUUAGCCUUGGCCCUUUUUG
Molecule: long non-coding RNA, 934 nt
Filed under: Pan troglodytes (chimpanzee)
Lineage: Eukaryota; Metazoa; Chordata; Mammalia; Primates; Hominidae
Description: long non-coding RNA NONPTRT002247
Source: RNAcentral